GAACGCCCCGCAAGGGGAGUGGCGGACGGGUGAGUAACGCGUGGGAACCUGCCCUAUGGUUCGGGAUAACUCGGCGAAAGCCGUGCUAAUACCGGAUGUGUCCUGAGGGAGAAAGAUUUAUCGCCACAGGAGGGGCCCGCGUCGGAUUAGCUAGUUGGUGGGGUAACGGCCUACCAAGGCGAUGAUCCGUAGCUGGUAUGAGAGGAUGAUCAGCCACACUGGGACUGAGACACGGCCCAGACUCCUACGGGAGGCAGCAGUGGGGAAUAUUGGACAAUGGGGGCAACCCUGAUCCAGCAAUGCCGCGUGAGUGAUGAAGGCCUUAGGGUUGUAAAGCUAUUUUGGCAGGGACGAUGAUGACGGUACCUGCAGAAUAAGCCCCGGCUAACUUAGUG
RNAcentral lists this ribosomal RNA (395 nucleotides) under uncultured bacterium. Its description in RNAcentral is "bacterial SSU rRNA". It matches the Rfam family "Bacterial small subunit ribosomal RNA", at positions 64 to 507 of the family's 1533-position model. The record is from RNAcentral.